UGACGCGCUCUUUUGAAGGGGGUAAAUCUAGCCGAGUAUCUUUCGCAUCGCCUAGGGGAAAGUAGGGAAUCUUCCGACCCUAUUUUAUAAGAGCGGGCGAAUUCUGAUAAGCUAGUGGAGGGGUAACGCUACAAGGCUUCGAUCCAGUAGCUGUUCUGAGAGGACGACCAGCACGCUGGAACUGAGACACGUCAGACUCUACGGAGGCAGCAGUGGGAAAUUUUGACAUGGCGAAGCUGAUCCAGCAUCCGCGUGAGUGAGAGGCGUUCGGGUGUAAAGCUCUUUCGCAGGGAAGAAAACUUACUUUCUAAUAAAGAGUGAGGCUGGCGGUACCUUGAUAAGAAGCACCGGCUAACUACGUGCCAGCAGCCGCGGUAAUACGUAGGGUGCGAGCGUUAAUCGGAAUUACUGGGCGUAAAGCGUGCGCAGGCGGUUUGGCAAGUCAGAUGUGAAAUCCCCGAGCUCAACUUGGGAACUGCGUUUGAAACUGCCAGACUAGAAUAUGUCAGAGGGGGGUAGAAUUCCACGUGUAGCAGUGAAAUGCGUAGAGAUGUGGAGGAAUACCAAUGGCGAAGGCAGCCCCCCGGGAUAAUAUUGACGCUCAUGCACGAAAGCGUGGGGAGCAAACAGGAUUAGAUACCCUGGUAGUCCACGCCCUAAACGAUGUCUACUAGCUGUUGGUGGAGUAAAAUCCAUGAGUAACGCAGCUAACGCGUGAAGUAGACCGCCUGGGGAGUACGGUCGCAAGAUUAAAACUCAAAGGAAUUGACGGGGGCCCGCACAAGCGGUGGAUUAUGUGGAUUAAUUCGAUGCAACGCGAAAAACCUUACCUGGCCUUGACAUACCACUAACGAAGCAGAGAUGCAUUAGGUGCCCGUAAGGGAAAGUGGACACAGGUGCUGCAUGGUUGUCGUCAGCUCGUGUCGUGAGAUGUUGGGUUAAGUCCCGCAACGAGCGCAACCCUUGCCAUUAAUUGCCAUCAUUUAGUUGGGCACUUUAAUGGGACUGCCGGUGACAAACCGGAGGAAGGUGGGGAUGGCGUCAAGUCCUCAUGGCCCUUAUGGCCAGGGCUUCACACGUAAUACAAUGGUCGGUACAGAGAGUUGCCAACCCGCGAGGGGGAGCUAAUCUCAGAAAGCCGAUCGUAGUCCGGAGUUGUUCUCUGCAACUCGAGAGCAUGAAGUCGGAAUCGCUAGUAAUCGCGGAUCAGCAUCGCGUAUGCUC
Molecule: ribosomal RNA, 1224 nt
Filed under: uncultured bacterium
Lineage: Bacteria
Description: partial 16S ribosomal RNA
Rfam family: Bacterial small subunit ribosomal RNA
Source: RNAcentral